CCCCUAGAUGUCCUGGGCCGCACGCGCAAUACAAUGUAAAGUUCAGAAAGCAUAUCCUGUUCCGGAAGGCAAUGGGUAAUCUUUUCAAUAUUUUACGUGUUAGGGAUCGAUCUUUGCAAUUAUAGAUCUUGAACGAGGAAUACCUAGUAAGUGCAGCUCAUCAGGCUGUACUGAUUACGUCCCUGCCCUUUGUACACACCGCCCGUCGCUCCUACCGAUUUCGAGUGGCCCGGUGAAUCUUUUGGAAUUAGAGUGCAAACUCAAACUAAGAUCGAUAAACCUUAUCACUUAGAGGAAGGAGAAGUCGUAACA
Molecule: ribosomal RNA, 312 nt
Filed under: uncultured eukaryote
Lineage: Eukaryota
Description: partial 18S ribosomal RNA
Rfam family: Eukaryotic small subunit ribosomal RNA
Source: RNAcentral